GAUGAAGAACGUAGCGAAUCGCGAUAAGUAAUGUGAAUUGCAGAUUUUCCGUGAAUCAUCGAAUCUUUGAACGCACCUUGCGCCCUUUGGCCAUUCCGAAGGGCAUGCCUGUUUGAGUAUCAUGAACACCUCAACUCUUCAUGGUUUUCCAUGAUGAGCUUGGACUUUGGGGGUCUUGCUGGCCUGUGGGUCGGCUCCUCUCAAAUGAAUCAGCUUGCCGGUUUUUGGUGGGCAUCACAGGUGUGAUAACUAUCUACGCUUGUGGUUUUCCACCAGGGUAACCUUCAGCAGUGGAGGUUCACUGGAGCUUACAAAUGUCUCUCCUCUGUGAGGACAGCCCUUUGAAUGUUUGAUCUCAAAUCAGGUAGGACUACCCGCUGAACUUAAGCAUAUCAAUAAGCGGAGGA
This 407-nucleotide unclassified non-coding RNA is filed under the name soil metagenome. RNAcentral describes it as "partial contains 5.8S ribosomal RNA, internal transcribed spacer 2, and large subunit ribosomal RNA". The stretch from base 1 to 122 matches the Rfam family "5.8S ribosomal RNA", at positions 35 to 154 of the family's 154-position model. The record is from RNAcentral.